CAGCAGCCGCGGUAAUACGAAGGGGGCUAGCGUUGCUCGGAAUUACUGGGCGUAAAGGGCGCGUAGGCGGACAGUUCAGUCGGGGGUGAAAGCCCGGGGCUCAACCCCGGAACUGCCUUCGAUACUGGCUGUCUUGAGUACGGGAGAGGUGUGUGGAACUCCGAGUGUAGAGGUGAAAUUCGUAGAUAUUCGGAAGAACACCAGUGGCGAAGGCGACACACUGGCCCGUUACUGACGCUGAGGCGCGAAAGCGUGGGGAGCAAACAGGAUUAGAUACCCCCGUAGUCCCUGUCUCUUAUAC
This 301-nucleotide ribosomal RNA is filed under the name uncultured bacterium. RNAcentral describes it as "partial 16S ribosomal RNA". It matches the Rfam family "Bacterial small subunit ribosomal RNA", at positions 509 to 807 of the family's 1533-position model. The record is from RNAcentral.